ACUUUCCUCUUAGACAAAACCCAACACGCUGGUACGAGCCAAUGCGAGUCAAGCAGUCAUUUUAGGAAGCAUAAACACUAAACAAGGACAUAACAAAGGAUCCCAUGAGACCCAUGCCCACAUAAAGUUCUGUAUCAAAGAGACCAAGCAAAUGUUCAAUGCGCCACUACAUCAACACACGCAUUAAUGGUGUGGUUCAAAGAGACAGCUUUUAAGGUUCAUCUAGUGUCACAAGCAUGACACAAGAAGAAAACAACUAAGAUAAGCCAAAUGAAUACCAUAUGUUAGGAAGGCAACACAAGAAACCCACCAGUUGUUUAGGCAAUUGAAACCUUAACAAGCAAAUGAAAAGGUAUGUCAGGUGGAAGUUGUUGCACAAGCAAGAGCCAACCACCAUUAACAAACC
RNAcentral lists this unclassified non-coding RNA (406 nucleotides) under Pleurocoronis pluriseta. Its description in RNAcentral is "partial external transcribed spacer". Lineage: Eukaryota; Viridiplantae; Streptophyta; Magnoliopsida; Asterales; Asteraceae. The record is from RNAcentral.